UACGUAGGGGGCAAGCGUUGUCCGGAUUUAUUGGGCGUAAAGAGCGUGUAGGCGGCCAGGUAGGUCUGCUGUGAAAACUCGAGGCUUAACCUCGAGCUGUCGGCGGAAACCAUCUGGCUAGAGUCCGGAAGAGGAGAAUGGAAUUCCCGGUGUAGCGGUGAAAUGCGCAGAUAUCGGGAAGAACACCCGUGGCGAAGGCGGUUCUCUGGGACGGUACUGACGCUGAGACGCGAAAGCGUGGGGAGCGAACAGGAUUAGAUACCCUGGUAGUCCACGCCGUAAACGAUGAGUGCUAGGUGUGGGGGGUGUCGACUCCCUCCGUGCCGCAGCUAACGCAUUAAGCACUCCGCCUGGGGAGUACGGCCGCAAGGCUAAA
This 376-nucleotide ribosomal RNA is filed under the name uncultured bacterium. Its description in RNAcentral is "bacterial SSU rRNA". It matches the Rfam family "Bacterial small subunit ribosomal RNA", at positions 524 to 898 of the family's 1533-position model. The record is from RNAcentral.